UAGGGAAUAUUGGUUAAUGUGCGAAAGCGCGAACCGGCAACGCCGCGUGCACGAUGAAGGCCUUCGGGUUGUAAAGUGCUUUUUGAGGGGAUGAGGAAGGACAGUACCCUCAGAAUAAGUCUCGGCCAACUACGUGCCAGCAGCCGCGGUAAUACGUAGGAGACGAGCGUUAUCCGGAUUUACUGGGCGUAAAGCGCGUGCAGGCGGUUCAGCAAGUUGGAUGUGAAAGCUCCCGGCUUAACUGGGAGAGGUCGUUCUAAACUACUGAACUUGAGAGUGGUAGAGGGAGGUGGAAUUCCGGGUGUAGUGGUGAAAUGCGUAGAUAUCCGGAGGAACACCAGUGGCGAAAGCGGCCUCCUGGACCAUUUCUGACGCUCAGACGCGAAAGCUAGGGUAGCGAACGG
Molecule: ribosomal RNA, 404 nt
Filed under: uncultured bacterium
Lineage: Bacteria
Description: bacterial SSU rRNA
Rfam family: Bacterial small subunit ribosomal RNA
Source: RNAcentral